GCGCCUCAGCGCUCUCUCCUGGCGCCUCCCUCCUCGCUGAACGCCAACAGUGCUCUUCCUCAGAUGCUCGAUUUGACUGGUGUGAGGGUACAAAACAGUCACGAAAGUGAAAUCAUGAGACUAUUACCGAUGUAAAUGGCAGAUUCACCUCAAGAAGGAGAUACUUAAGAAGGUCUCAGAGACAGAUUAUGCCACUUCUGGAUCUACUGAAGUCUGAGUCACACCUGAGAAACACAGGCAAGUGAUUGGCUUUCCUGCCACCAGGUCUAAUGGCUUGGUAAAGAUACUGCUGCUAGAGUCAAAAUUAUACUAUGAUUAAAGUCCAGCUUGGGCUCCCAUAAUCCUAUUAUUAUUAUGGGAGCCCACUCUGAACUCUCCUGAGUUUGCGGGGCAGCAAGAAGACAGUAACGGGAAGGUUGUGAGCAACAGACAUUGGGCACCUGCCACUGUCAGCAGGAUAUGAAAGAGCCUAAGUAAGGGGAAGGAAAGAACAGGGUCCGUCUUUGAGGAAUUCAGCUGCUCAGGUUAGACUCCAUGUGAGCUCUCCUUCCAGAGGCCACGAUGGGGUAAAACCUGCAGAUGUGAGACAGGGAGGAAAAGCAAAGCCACAAAAAAUGGGGAAAGUGGGCAAAAUGAGGGAAAACCUGCACCCUCCAAGGCUCUAGAUGCAGGAGAAAUCUCCUAAUAUAUUCAGAAUUGAUGUGUAAUCCCCCAUAAAAUACAUCGUUUCCAUUGUAAAAAUCAGCAGUGAUGCAAACCCACUUCACGCGCAGCACCCACCUGCACCGUACCACACAACGCUGUGACAACACUAACACGAAGCUGAUGCUGAUUGCUCAACAGUGAGGGAUCCCUGCCCAGGAGCAGCCAGCACCGUGGAGCUGGUAGGUUAACUCAUCAACUUCUAAGCAUGGUAAAAUCUCAGGCCCUUCAGAGUUCUUGACAAUAACCACACCUCAGGGAGCUGUAGAACUGUGUAGAUAGAACCUGGACCACCUAAGCUUAUUUUUCUGGUGAGUAAAAUAUAGUCAAGAUAGUGAACAUGUUAGUCAUGGCAACUCCAAGGAACACUGAAAUUCUGUUUGCCAAUGUGUGUAGUCAGAGACGAAAACAAAAUGGAGUGACCAAUUUAGAGGACUUCCAGUUGUGUCCUGGUCAUUACUGAUGCUUUCUAGUCCUGAUUGCUUUUUAAGCUGUAGAUUAUUGUUGGAACUAAAGCUGCCUCGCUGGAAGAUAUUUAGCUAUUUGAACUACUUGGGGUUGUUGUUGACUAUUUAAAAUAAGUGUUUCUGAGUAUCAGUGAUCCGUUUUGAGCUACAGACAUAGAUUCUUUUUAUACCAGGAAACUGUCUUUGUUAUUUCUAUGAUGUUUUAUAAAAAUUUCUUUAGGAAUAAAACUGACCCAGGUUCGGCCGGGCACAGUGGCUCACAGUCUCGCUCUGUCAUCCAGGCUGGAGUACGUGGAAUACAGUGGUGCGAUCUCAGCUCACUGCAACAUCCGCCUUCCAGAUUCAAGUGAUUCUCCCAGGUAGCUGGAACUACAGGCACCUGCCACCACGCCUGGCUAGUUUAGUAGAGACAAGUUUUCGCCAUGUUGGCCAGGCUGGUCUCAAACUCCUGACCAUAAGUGAUCCGCCCGCCUCGGCCUCCCAAAUUGCUGAGAUUACAGGUGUGAGCCACUGGACCUGGCCCCAAAAUGAAAAUCUUCAUAGUAAACAUAAAACAAAUAAGCUACCCAUUAACUAAUAUAAGUAAUC
RNAcentral lists this long non-coding RNA (1757 nucleotides) under Homo sapiens (human). RNAcentral describes it as "long non-coding RNA NONHSAT216729.1". Lineage: Eukaryota; Metazoa; Chordata; Mammalia; Primates; Hominidae. The record is from RNAcentral.